UGGACAGAUUACUGUAUUCGACUGUAUUCAUGGCGUGAAACAAGGGAUUACACUGUUUUAAACCGGAAAGUGUAUCAAUUAACAUAAAAGACUACU
This 96-nucleotide microRNA precursor is filed under the name Nicotiana sylvestris (wood tobacco). Its description in RNAcentral is "MIR6152 microRNA precursor family". It matches the Rfam family "MIR6152 microRNA precursor family". The record is from Rfam by way of RNAcentral. Lineage: Eukaryota; Viridiplantae; Streptophyta; Magnoliopsida; Solanales; Solanaceae.